Molecule: unclassified non-coding RNA, 354 nt
Filed under: Hevea brasiliensis (rubber tree)
Lineage: Eukaryota; Viridiplantae; Streptophyta; Magnoliopsida; Malpighiales; Euphorbiaceae
Source: RNAcentral
AUACUUGAAGAAGGACUGGAACAUAUUGAGGAAGGAGAUGCCUUGCUUACGCUAUGCAGAGGUUAGUGAUUGUUAUCAAAUAGACAAUUUCCGGAGAGCUGAUCAUCAGGAAUACAAGCCGAGGAUCUGGAGGCCAUAAUCAACACUCAUUAAUCAUCCAUGGAUUUGGUGCCGUUGCAUGAAAUGAAGUAACUGAAUGCUUAUGGAUUGUGAUGUUGUUACGUUUGCUUUAGAAGUGUUUAGAAUUCAGUUACAGUUGUAAUAUAUGAAUGUGAUUUUGUGCGUUGAAAUUGGAGGCAAGGUAUGCAAAUUAAGUAUCUUAAUAACUUGUUGAAAUCCAAUGGAAUGUGCCGC